GAGUUUGAUCCUGGCUCAGGACGAACGCUGGCGGCGUGCCUAAUACAUGCAAGUCGAGCGAGGGUUUUUAAGACCCUAGCGGCGGACGGGUGAGUAACACGUAGGCGAACCUGCCUCUCAGACCGGGAUAACAUAGGAAACUUAUGCUAAUACCGGAUAGGUUUUGGAUCGCAUGAUCCGAAAGAAAGAUGGCUUUUCGCUAUCACUGGGAGAUGGGCCUGCGGCGCAUUAGCUAG
RNAcentral lists this ribosomal RNA (236 nucleotides) under uncultured microorganism. RNAcentral's name for it is "partial 16S ribosomal RNA". It matches the Rfam family "Bacterial small subunit ribosomal RNA", at positions 9 to 248 of the family's 1533-position model. The record is from RNAcentral.